GUCAUACGCUCGUCUCAAAGAUUAAGCCAUGCAUGUGUAAGUAUAAAUAAUUCUACUUUGAAACUGCGAAUGGCUCAUUAUAUCAGUUAUAGUUUAUUUGAUGAAAUGUACUACUUGGAUAACCGUAGUAAUUCUAGAGCUAAUACAUGAUCAAUUCCUCGACUUUGAAGAGGUGUAUUUAUUAGAAUGAAAACCAAUAGACUCUGUCUGUUUGUGAGUAAUAAUAACUUGUCAUAUCGCAUGCUUAGGUAGCGAUGUGUCUUUUAAGUUUCUGCCCUAUCAGCUUUCGAUGGUAGUGUAUUGGACUACCAUGGCAGUAACGGGU
This 325-nucleotide ribosomal RNA is filed under the name Blastocystis sp. Its description in RNAcentral is "SSU rRNA". It matches the Rfam family "Eukaryotic small subunit ribosomal RNA", at positions 23 to 360 of the family's 1831-position model. Lineage: Eukaryota; Bigyra; Opalinata; Blastocystidae. The record is from RNAcentral.